CGCGAUUCGCCCUUCGGGGUGCACCAGGCGCGAAAACUUUACAAUGCCGGCAACGGCGAUAAGGGAACCUCGAGUGCCAGGUUACAAAUCUGGCUGUCGUGAUGCCUAAAAAGCAUUGCAUAGCAAGGGCCGGGCAAGACCGGUGCCAGCCGCCGCGGUAACACCGGCGGCUCGAGUGGUAACCGUUAUUAUUGGGUCUAAAGGGUCUGUAGCCGGCCGGGUAAGUCUCUUGGGAAAUCUGGCAGCUUAACUGUCAGGCUUUCAGGAGAUACUGCCUGGCUCGAGGCCGGGAGAGGUGAGAGGUACUUCAGGGGUAGGGGUGAAAUCUUGUAAUCCUUGAAGGACCACCAGUGGCGAAGGCGUCUCACCAGAACGGACCUGGCGGCAAGGGACGAAAGCUAGGGGCACGAACCGGAUUAGAUACCCGGGUAGUCCUAGCCGUAAACGAUACUCGCUAGGUGUCGGCCACGGUGCGACCGUGGUCGGUGCCGUAGGGAAGCCGUGAAGCGAGCCACCUGGGAAGUACGGCCGCAAGGCUGAAACUUAAAGGAAUUGGCGGGGGAGCAC
RNAcentral lists this ribosomal RNA (567 nucleotides) under uncultured archaeon. RNAcentral describes it as "bacterial SSU rRNA". It matches the Rfam family "Archaeal small subunit ribosomal RNA", at positions 312 to 879 of the family's 1478-position model. The record is from RNAcentral.